GACGAACGCUGGCGGCGUGCCUAAUACAUGCAAGUAGAACGCUGAAGAGAGGAGCUUGCUCUUCUUGGAUGAGUUGCGAACGGGUGAGUAACGCGUAGGUAACCUGCCUUGUAGCGGGGGAUGACUAUUGGAAACGAUAGCUAAUACCGCAUAACAAUGGAUGACACAUGUCAUUUAUUUGAAAGGGGCAAUUGCUCCACUACAAGAUGGACCUGCGUUGUAUUAGCUAGUAGGUGAGGUAAUGGCUCACCUAGACGACGAUACAUAGCCGACCUGAGAGGGUGAUCGGCCACACUGGGACUGAGACACGGCCCAGACUCCUACGGGAGGCAGCAGUAGGGAAUCUUCGGCAAUGGGGGCAACCCUGACCGAGCAACGCCGCGUGAGUGAAGAAGGUUUUCGGAUCGUAAAGCUCUGUUGUAAGUCAAGAACGGGUGUGAGAGUGGAAAGUUCACACUGUGACGGUAGCUUACCAGAAAGGGACGGCUAACUACGUG
This 497-nucleotide ribosomal RNA is filed under the name uncultured bacterium. RNAcentral describes it as "partial 16S ribosomal RNA". It matches the Rfam family "Bacterial small subunit ribosomal RNA", at positions 28 to 507 of the family's 1533-position model. The record is from RNAcentral.